RNAcentral lists this small nuclear RNA (307 nucleotides) under Neogale vison (American mink). RNAcentral's name for it is "Neovison vison (American mink) 7SK RNA (ENSNVIG00000012182.1)". It matches the Rfam family "7SK RNA". From Rfam's summary of the family: 7SK was discovered as an abundant small nuclear RNA in the mid-70s but a possible function has only recently been suggested. Lineage: Eukaryota; Metazoa; Chordata; Mammalia; Carnivora; Mustelidae. The record is from Rfam by way of RNAcentral.
GCAUGUGAGGGCGAUCUGGCUGCGACAUCUGUCACCCCAUUGAUCGCCAGGGUUGAUUCGGCUGAUCUGGCUGGCUAGGAGGGUGUCCCCUUCCUCCCUCACCGCUCCAUGUGCGUCCCUCCCAAAGCCAUAUGCAUUGUAGAAGAGGAUGAUUUUCCCGAGGAGAGGACCGUUCUUCCGUCAAGGGUAUACGAGUAGCUGUGCUCCCCUGCUAGAACCUUCAAACAAGCUCUCAAGGUCAUAUUUUUCAAGUGUGAAGAAUUUACAUGACCAUAUAAACAUUUUAGUCCAUUUCUAUUUGUUUCUA